This 301-nucleotide ribosomal RNA is filed under the name uncultured bacterium. RNAcentral's name for it is "partial 16S ribosomal RNA". It matches the Rfam family "Bacterial small subunit ribosomal RNA", at positions 509 to 809 of the family's 1533-position model. The record is from RNAcentral.
CAGUCGCCGCGGGAAUACGGAGGGUGCAAGCGUUAAUCGGAAUUACUGGGCGUAAAGCGCACGCAGGCGGUUUGUUAAGUCAGAUGUGAAAUCCCCGAGCUUAACUUGGGAACUGCAUUUGAAACUGGUAAGCUAGAGUCUUGUAGAGGGGGGUAGAAUUCCAGGUGUAGCGGUGAAAUGCGUAGAGAUCUGGAGGAAUACCGGUGGCGAAGGCGGCCCCCUGGACAAAGACUGACGCUCAGGUGCGAAAGCGUGGGGAGCAAACAGGAUUAGAUACCCGGGUAGUCCCUGUCUCUUAUAA